UUUUAACCUCUUAUGGGAGGAAAUUGGUAUAAGUGUUGUCUAAACACUUCUUAUCCAUCUCUAAUUCUUAUAAUUAGUCAAUUGCAUUGGGUUGUGACACAUUUUGACCAUAGAAAUACUAACAAAUCUAGUGACUGUUUCUAAGCAAGUUUUGUUGGUUUUAGCCUCUUAUGGGAGAAAAUGGGUAUAAGUGUUAUCUAAACACUCCUAAUCCAUCUCUAACUCUAUAAUUAGUCAAAUGCAUUGGAUUGUGAAACAUUUUGACCAUAGAAACACUAACAAAUCUAUUGACCGCUUAUAAGCAAGUUUUGUUGGUUUUAGCCUCUUUUGGGAGGAAAUGGGUUAUAAGUGUUAUCUAAACACUUCUUGUCCAUCCCUAACUCUUAUAAUUAAUCAAUUGCAAAUUUUUGUUGGUUUUACCCUCUUUUGGGAGAAAAUGGGUAUAAUUGUUGUCUAAACACUCCUAAUCCAUAUCUAACUCUAUAAUUAGUCCAAUGCAUUAGAUUGUGAAACAUUUUGACCAUAAAAACACUAACAAAUCUAUUGACUGCUUCUAAGCAUAUGUUUGUUGGUUUAGCCACUUUUAGGAUAAAAUAGGUAUAAGUGUUGUCUAAACACUUCUAAUCCAUCUCUAACUCUUAUAAUUAGUUGAAUGCAUUGGAUUGUGAUACCUUUUGACCAAAAAACACUAACAAAGUUAUUUACUGCUUCUAAGCAAUAUUUUGUUGGUUAUAUCUUCUUUUGUGAGUAAAUGGGUAUAAGUGUUGUCUAAACACUCCUAAUCCAUCGCUAGCUCUUAUAAUUAGUCAAAUGAAUUGGAUUGUGACACAUUUUGACCAUAGAAACACUAACAAAUCUAUUGAGUUGUUCUAAGCAAGUUUUGUUGGUUUUAACCUCUUCUAGGAGGAAAUGGGUAUAAGUGUUGUCUAAACACUUCUUAUCCAUCUCUAACUCUUACAAUUAGUCAAUUGCAUUGGAUUGUGACACAUUUUGACAAUAGAAACACAAACAAAUCUACUGACUGCUUCUAAGCAAGUUUUGUUGGUUUGAGCCUCUUUUGGGAGAAAAUGGGUAUAAGUGUUAUCUAAAGACUCCUAAUCCAUCUCUAACUCUAUAAUUAGUCAAAUGCAUUGGAUUGUGAAACUUUUUGACCAUAUAAACACUAACAAAGCUAUUUAGUGCUUCUAAGCAAUAUUUUGUUGGUUAUAGCUUCUUUAGGGAGAAAAUGGGUAUAAUUAUUGUCUAAACACUCCUAACCCAUCUCUAACUCUAUAAUUAGUCCAAUGCAUUGGAUUCUGAAACAUUUUGACUAUAGAAAUACUAACAAAUCUAUUGAGUGCUUCUAAGCAAGUUUUGUUGGUUUUAGCCUCUUUUGGCCGAAAAUGGGUAUAAGUGUUAUCUAAACACUCCUAAUCCUUCUCUAACUCUUAUAAUUGGUCGAAUGCAUUGGAUUGUGAUACAUUUUGACCAUAUAAACACUAACAAAGCUAUUUAGUGCUUCUAAGCAAUAUUUUGGUUGUUAUAGCUUCUUUAGGGAGAAAAUGGGUAUAAUUAUUGUCUAAACACUCCUAAUCCAUCUCUAACUCUAUAAUUAGUCCAAUGCAUUGGAUUGUGAAACAUUUUGACUAUAGAAACACUAACAAAUCUAUUGACUGCUUUUAAGCAAAUUUUUUUGGUUUUAGCCUCUUUUGGGAGAAAAUAGGUAUAAGUGUUGUCUAAACACUCCUAAUCCAUCUCUAACUGUUAUAAUUAGUCAAAUGCAUUGGAUUGUGAUACAUUUUGACCAUAUAAACACUAACAAAGCUAUUUAGUGCUUCUAAGCAAUAUUUUGUUGGUUAUAGCUUCUUUUGGGAGAAAAUGGGUAUAACUGUUCUCUAAACACUCCUAAUCCAUCUCUUACUCUUAUAAUUAGUCAAAUGCAUUGGAUUGUGACAUAUUUUGACCAUAGAAACACUAACAAAUCUAUUGACCGCUUCUAAGCAAGUUUUCUUGGUUUUAGCCUCUUUUGGGAGGAAAUGGUUAUAAGUGUUGUCUAAACACUUCUUGUCCAUCCCUAACUCUUAUAAUUAUUCAAUUGCAUUGGAUUGUGACACAUUUUGACUAUAGAAACACUAACAAAUCUAUUGACUGCUUCUGAGCAAGUUUUGUUGGUUUUAGCCUCUUUUGGGAGAAAAUGGGUAUAAGUGUUGUCUAAACACUUCUUAUCCAUCUCUAACUCUUAUAAUUAGUCAAUUGCAUUGGAUUGUCACACAUUAUGACCAUAGAAACACUAACAAAUCUAUUGACUGCUUUUAAGCAAGUUUUGUUGGUUUUAGCCUCUUUUGGGAGAAAAUGGGUAUAAGUGGUGUCUAAACACUCCUAAUCCAUCUCUAACUCUUAUAAUUAGUCGAAUGCAUUGGAUUGUGAUACCUUUUGACCAUAAAAACACUAACAAAGCUAUUUAGUGCUUCUAAGCAAUAUUUUGGUUGUUAUAGCUUCUUUAGGGAGAAAAUGGGUAUAAUUAUUGUCUAAACACUCCUAAUCCAUCUCUAACUCUAUAAUUAGUCCAAUGCAUUGGAUUGUGAAACAUUUUGACUAUAGAAACACUAACAAAUCUAUUGACUGCUUUUAAGCAAAUUUUUUUGGUUUUAGCCUCUUUUGGGAGAAAAUAGGUAUAAGCGUUGUCUAAACACUCCUAACCCAUCUCUAACUCUAUAAUUAGUCCAAUGCAUUGGAUUGUGAUACAUUUUGACUAUAGAAAUACUAACAAAUCUAUUGAGUGCUUCUAAGCAAGUUUUGUUGGUUUUAGCCUCUUUUGGCCGAAAAUGGGUAUAAGUGUUAUCUAAACACUCCUAAUCCAUCUCUAACUCUUAUAAUUAGUCGAAUGCAUUGGAUUGUGAUACAUUUUGACCAUAUAAACACUAACAAAGCUAUUUAGUGCUUCUAAGCAAUAUUUUGGUUGUUAUAGCUUCUUUAGGGAGAAAAUGGGUAUAAUUAUUGUCUAAACACUCCUAAUCCAUCUCUAACUCUAUAAUUAGUCCAAUGCAUUGGAUUGUGAAACAUAUUGACUAUAGAAACACUAACAAAUCUAUUGACUGCUUUUAAGCAAAUUUUUUUGGUUUUAGCCUCUUUUGGGAGAAAAUAGGUAUAAGUGUUGUUUAAACACUCCUAAUCCAUCUCUAACUGUUAUAAUUAGUCAAAUGCAUUGGAUUGUGAUACAUUUUGACCAUAUAAACACUAACAAAGCUAUUUAGUGCUUCUAAGCAAUAUUUUGUUGGUUAUAGCUUCUUUAGGGAGAAAAUGGGUAUAAUUAUUUUCUAAACACUCCUAAUCCAUCUCUAACUCUAUAAUUAGUCCAAUGCAUUGGAUUGUGAAACAUUUUGACUGUAGAAACACUAACAAAUCUAUUGACUGCUUUUAAGCAAAUUUUUUUGGUUUUAGCCUCUUUUGGGAGAAAAUGGGUAAAAGUGUUGUCUAAACACUCCUAAUCCAUCUCUAACUGUUAUAAUUAGUCAAAUGCAUUGGAUUGUGAUACAUUUUGACCAUAUCGUCAAAAUCUAUUGAGUUGUUCUAAGCAAGUUUUGUUGGUUUUAACCUCUUUUGGGAGGAAAUGGGUAUAAGUAUUGUCUAAACACUUAUUAUCCAUCUCUAACUCUUAUAUUAGUCAAUUGCAUUGGAUUGUGACACAUUUUGACCAUAGAAACGCUAACAAAUCUAUUGACUGCUUCUAAGCAAGUUUUGCUUGUUUUAGCCUCUUUUGGGAGAAAAUGGGUAUACGUCUUGGCUAAAGACUCCUAAUCUAUCUCUAACUCUAUCAUUAGUCAAAUGCAUUUGAU
Molecule: small RNA, 3815 nt
Filed under: Arabidopsis thaliana (thale cress)
Lineage: Eukaryota; Viridiplantae; Streptophyta; Magnoliopsida; Brassicales; Brassicaceae
Description: ATSL036840
Source: RNAcentral